This is a long non-coding RNA of Cyprinus carpio (common carp), 199 nucleotides long. RefSeq lists it as uncharacterized. The record is from RefSeq and is a predicted model, not a curated record. The transcript has 3 exons. NCBI's taxonomy places the organism in Eukaryota, Metazoa, Chordata, Actinopteri, Cypriniformes, Cyprinidae.
GUGUGCAGUUGUAAUCAUCUGAGCUUUUUUGCAGUGCUCAUUAAUCCUGAAAUUCCUGAAGAGUCCCAUAUUGUCCCCCUCAACUACAUUUCAUACAUCGGCUCUGCCCUUACAUAGCAUUUACAGCCCUAAUGAUUAUUAUGUUUCUGUGCCUGAGGAAGAAGCAAUGUGAUCAUUCAGCCAUCAUUCACAUGCAGCU